Molecule: ribosomal RNA, 427 nt
Filed under: uncultured prokaryote
Description: bacterial SSU rRNA
Rfam family: Bacterial small subunit ribosomal RNA
Source: RNAcentral
UAGGGAAUCUUCGGCUAUGGGCGAAAGCCUGACCGAGCAACGCCGCGUGAAUGAUGAAGGCCUUCGGGUUGUAAAAUUCUGUUAUAAGGGAAGAACGACUUUAGUAGGAAAUGGCUAGAGUGUGACGGUACCUUAUGAGAAAGCCACGGCUAACUACGUGCCAGCAGCCGCGGUAAGACGUAGGGGGCGAGCGUUGUUCGGAAUUACUGGGCGUAAAGAGCUCGUAGGCUGGAAAUUAAGUCUUUGAAUAAAUCUCCCGGCUUAACCGGGAACAAUUUAGAGAUACUGAUUUUCUUGAGAACAGGAGAGGGGAAUGGAAUUCCUAGUGUAGCGGUGAAAUGCGUAGAUAUUAGGAGGGACACCAGUGGCGAAGUCGGUUCUCUGGCCUGUUUCUGACGCUGAGGCACGAAAGCGUGGGGAGCAAACA